This is a long non-coding RNA of Homo sapiens (human), 286 nucleotides long. RefSeq lists it as uncharacterized. The record is from RefSeq and is a predicted model, not a curated record. NCBI's taxonomy places the organism in Eukaryota, Metazoa, Chordata, Mammalia, Primates, Hominidae. The transcript has 3 exons.
UUUGAUCCUUCAGGCACAGUUUAUUUUGCUACCGAGCUUUACAAUAUUUCUUCAGUGUUGCUGAAAUUCAAAGCUGGCCUCUGGAGUCAGACUUCCUGGGUUAAAAUCCCAGAUCUACUAUUUAGUAUAUUCAUCAUCAUGUAGUAGUUACUUUCCAAGUUCAAUACCAUGAGUGUGGUUUGCCUUGACCUUCCAGCUCUCCAGACACUGUCCUGGGGGUGAUCAUUUGAAGAGGGGAUGUGUGUUUUUUCUUUGAAAUGUAUGUACGCUGAGUUCUACUGACAAG